RNAcentral lists this ribosomal RNA (506 nucleotides) under uncultured bacterium. RNAcentral's name for it is "partial 16S ribosomal RNA". It matches the Rfam family "Bacterial small subunit ribosomal RNA", at positions 30 to 523 of the family's 1533-position model. The record is from RNAcentral.
AUUGAACGCUGGCGGCAGGCCUAACACAUGCAAGUCGAACGGUAACAGGAAACAGCUUGCUGUUUCGCUGACGAGUGGCGGGCGGGUGAGUAAUGUCUGGGAAACUGCCUGAUGGAGGGGGAUAACUACUGGAAACGGUAGCUAAUACCGCAUAACGUCGCAAGACCAAAGAGGGGGACCUUCGGGCCUCUUGCCAUCGGAUGUGCCCAGAUGGGAUUAGCUAGUAGGUGGGGUAACGGCUCACCUAGGCGACGAUCCCUAGCUGGUCUGAGAGGAUGACCAGCCACACUGGAACUGAGACACGGUCCAGACUCCUACGGGAGGCAGCAGUGGGGAAUAUUGCACAAUGGGCGCAAGCCUGAUGCAGCCAUGCCGCGUGUAUGAAGAAGGCCUUCGGGUUGUAAAGUACUUUCAGCGGGGAGGAAGGGAGUAAAGUUAAUACCUUUGCUCAUUGACGUUACCCGCAGAAGAAGCACCGGCUAACUCCGUGCCAGCCGCCGCCGUAG